This 403-nucleotide ribosomal RNA is filed under the name Verrucomicrobiota bacterium. Its description in RNAcentral is "Verrucomicrobia bacterium partial 16S ribosomal RNA". It matches the Rfam family "Bacterial small subunit ribosomal RNA", at positions 355 to 776 of the family's 1533-position model. The record is from RNAcentral. Lineage: Bacteria; Pseudomonadati; Verrucomicrobiota.
UGGGGAAUAUUGCACAAUGGGGGAAACCCUGAUGCAGCAACGCCGCGUGAACGAUGAAGGUCUUCGGAUCGUAAAGUUCUGUUGCAGGGGAAGAUAAUGACGGUACCCUGUGAGGAAGCCCCGGCUAACUACGUGCCAGCAGCCGCGGUAAUACGUAGGGGGCUAGCGUUAUCCGGAUUUACUGGGCGUAAAGGGUGCGUAGGUGGUCUUUCAAGUCGGUGGUUAAAGGCUACGGCUCAACCGUAGUUAGCCUCCGAAACUGGAAGACUUGAGUGCAGGAGAGGAAAGUGGAAUUCCCAGUGUAGCGGUGAAAUGCGUAGAUAUUGGGAGGAACACCAGUAGCGAAGGCGGCUUUCUGGACUGCAACUGACACUGAGGCACGAAAGCGUGGGUAGCAAACAGG